GUGCCAGCAGCCGCGGUAAUACGGAGGGUGCAAGCGUUAAUCGGAAUUACUGGGCGUAAAGCGUGCGUAGGUGGUUUGUUAAGUCAGAUGUGAAAGCCCCGGGCUCAACCUGGGAACUGCAUUUGAAACUGGCUAACUAGAGUAUAGGAGAGGAAAGUGGAAUUUCAGGUGUAGCGGUGAAAUGCGUAGAUAUCUGAAGGAACAUCAAUGGCGAAGGCAGCUUUCUGGACUAAUACUGACACUGAGGUACGAAAGCGUGGGUAGCAAACAGGAUUAGAUACCCUGGUAGUCCACGCCGUAAACGAUGACAACUAGCCGUUGGGAGGAUUCACCUCUUAGUGGCGAAGCUAACGCGUUAAGUUGUCCGCCUGGGGAGUACGGCCGCAAGGCUAAAACUCAAAGGAAUUGACGGGGACCCGCACAAGCGGUGGAGCAUGUGGUUUAAUUCGAUGCAACGCGAAAAACCUUACCUGGUCUUGACAUACAC
This 487-nucleotide ribosomal RNA is filed under the name uncultured Gammaproteobacteria bacterium. RNAcentral describes it as "bacterial SSU rRNA". It matches the Rfam family "Bacterial small subunit ribosomal RNA", at positions 505 to 991 of the family's 1533-position model. Lineage: Bacteria; Pseudomonadati; Pseudomonadota; Gammaproteobacteria. The record is from RNAcentral.